Molecule: ribosomal RNA, 253 nt
Filed under: uncultured bacterium
Lineage: Bacteria
Description: partial 16S ribosomal RNA
Rfam family: Bacterial small subunit ribosomal RNA
Source: RNAcentral
UACGUAGGGUGCGAGCGUUGUCCGGAAUUAUUGGGCGUAAAGGGCUCGUAGGCGGUUUGUCGCGUCGGGAGUGAAAACACCGGGCUUAACUCGGUGCUUGCUUUCGAUACGGGCAGACUAGAGGCAUGCAGGGGAGAACGGAAUUCCUGGUGUAGCGGUGAAAUGCGCAGAUAUCGGGAGGAACACCGGUGGCGAAGGCGGUUCUCUGGGCCUUACCUGACGCUGAGGAGCGAAAGCGUGGGGAGCGAACAGG